RNAcentral lists this ribosomal RNA (314 nucleotides) under Clostridiales bacterium oral taxon 075. RNAcentral's name for it is "bacterial SSU rRNA". It matches the Rfam family "Bacterial small subunit ribosomal RNA", at positions 28 to 332 of the family's 1533-position model. Lineage: Bacteria; Bacillati; Bacillota; Clostridia; Eubacteriales. The record is from RNAcentral.
GAUAAACGCUGGCGGCGUACAUAAGACAUGCAAGUCGAACGGGAGAAGACAGGAAGAUUUAUCUACUUGUUGGACACCGUGGCGGACGGGUGAGUAACACGUAAGCAACCUGCCUAUAAGAGGGGAAUAACAGUGAGAAAUUACUGAUAAUACCGCAUAAGCUGGAGGUAUCGCAUGAUACAUUCAGAAAAGAUUUAUCGCUUAUAGAUGGGCUUGCGUCUGAUUAGCUAGUUGGUGAGAUAACAGCUCACCAAGGCGACGAUCAGUAGCCGGAUUGAGAGGUGAACGGCCACAUUGGGACUGAGACACGGCCC